AGUGAACGCUGGCGGUAGGCCUAACACAUGCAAGUCGAACGGCAGCACAGUAAGAGCUUGCUCUUACGGGUGGCGAGUGGCGGACGGGUGAGGAAUACAUCGGAAUCUACUUUUUCGUGGGGGAUAACGUAGGGAAACUUACGCUAAUACCGCAUACGACCUACGGGUGAAAGCAGGGGAUCUUCGUACCUUGCGCUAUUGAAUGAGCCGAUGUCGGAUUAGCUAGUUGGCGGGGUAAAGGCCAACCAAGGCGACGAUCCGUAGCUGGUCUGAGAGGAUGAUCAGCCACACUGGAACUGAGACACGGUCCAGACUCCUACGGGAGGCAGCAGUGGGGAAUAUUGGACAAUGGGCGCAAGCCUGAUCCAGCCAUACCGCGUGGGUGAAGAAGGCCUUCGGGUUGUAAAGCCCUUUUGUUGGGAAAGAAAAGCAGCAGGUUAAUACCCCGCUGUUCUGACGGUACCCAAAGAAUAAGCACCGGCUAACUUCGUG
RNAcentral lists this ribosomal RNA (492 nucleotides) under uncultured bacterium. RNAcentral's name for it is "partial 16S ribosomal RNA". It matches the Rfam family "Bacterial small subunit ribosomal RNA", at positions 29 to 507 of the family's 1533-position model. The record is from RNAcentral.